Molecule: ribosomal RNA, 433 nt
Filed under: uncultured bacterium
Lineage: Bacteria
Description: partial 16S ribosomal RNA
Rfam family: Bacterial small subunit ribosomal RNA
Source: RNAcentral
AACGAACGCUGGCGGCAUGCCUAACACAUGCAAGUCGAACGAGACCUUCGGGUCUAGUGGCGCACGGGUGCGUAACGCGUGGGAACCUGCCCUUAGGUUCGGAAUAACUCCCCGAAAGGGGUGCUAAUACCGGAUAAUGUCUUCGGACCAAAGAUUUAUCGCCUUUGGAUGGGCCCGCGUUGGAUUAGCUAGUUGGUAGGGUAAAAGCCUACCAAGGCGACGAUCCAUAGCUGGUCUGAGAGGAUGAUCAGCCACACUGGGACUGAGACACGGCCCAGACUCCUACGGGAGGCAGCAGUGGGGAAUAUUGGACCAUGGGCGAAAGCCUGAUCCAGCAAUGCCGCGUGAGUGAUGAAGGCAUUAGGGUUGUAAAGCUCUUUUACCCGGGAUGAUAAUGACAGUACCGGGAGAAUAAGCUCCGGCUAACUCCGUG